GGGGUAUGAAGUAACCGGUGACUAACAAGUCUAACCGCCAAAAUGAAUAAACAAUAAAGAUAAUGAUAUAAGCUGAAAAGUAACGGCCAGCGAAGCCUUACACACGAAAGAUUUACACGUCAAUAUAAAUGGAAACGUUAGAUCAAAAGGAAUUAAUGAAUGUCUUGAAAAACGAAACUAAGUUCCUUUAAUCCAAAUUAAAGAAACUAUGUAAAUAAGGUUUCGAGGACGAAACCUCUCUAAGGGGGGUAGACUUGUAACACCCCAAAAAUGGGUUUGGUAAUCAAACCGCGUUACUAGUAAUGACGGGUAAAAUACCUUUAGUGGUAAAAAUUAACCCGGUAAGUAUUAGGAAUUUAAAUAAAUAAACUUAAUAUUAACUGGAAAGAGGAUAAAUACUUUGAGAAGACAAAGUUUAUAAAAAGGGACCCGAGUUAACGGGACAUAAAAUAAACGGGUUACAACUCCCGGAACUAACUAAGUUAACUAGGAAUAAUCAACCUAGUUAAUUAAAAGUCUCAUAAUGGUAUGUGAGUGGGUUAAAAACACCUAAAGUAAGAACCUGACAAUAAUUGAGGGGCCAAAGGUGUUAAAAAGCAAACUAGUUUUUAAUUAAAACAAAAAAAAUAUAAUAACACACACUUGUGUGUAUGGAUCGAACAGAACCAGGAGGGGGCGACCAGGGGUUUCUCCACAAACCCUAAUUCUCACAAAAUCCUCCAAAUUGAAGCUCAAAUCAAGCCCGAAUCGUCUGCAUGAUUACAAAUUCGUGAUCUCCAUUGAAAGGGGAGUCAUAAGUUUGACUCUUGACGAGCUAGGUGAAGCUUGGAGGAGAAGAUCAAACGGGAUAAAGGCACGAGUAAGACUUGCUUGGAUGAAAGGGGCGAAUAGUAAUUUGGGUAAUUGCGUCGCCAUAAGAAUAUCGAUAAUGAAAGCAAGGAGUCAAAACGGGUCAUUAGGUUGACUCGAGCCAGGUGAAUGUCGAGAGUCCCGGAUGAAGAUCAAGCAUCGAACAAGAACCGAACACACGUUAAACAAAGCUUCCGCAACGUUGUUUUGUCGUUAUUCUAAACGGCGAAUUAAAUCACAUUAUGUAUAUCACUUAAAUUGUAAAAGUUUUUAACAACCGGUAUUUCUAAUGUAUAUGCAAUUAU
Molecule: long non-coding RNA, 1154 nt
Filed under: Helianthus annuus (common sunflower)
Lineage: Eukaryota; Viridiplantae; Streptophyta; Magnoliopsida; Asterales; Asteraceae
Description: hypothetical non coding rna
Source: RNAcentral